RNAcentral lists this non-coding RNA (24 nucleotides) under Arabidopsis thaliana (thale cress). The record is from RNAcentral. Lineage: Eukaryota; Viridiplantae; Streptophyta; Magnoliopsida; Brassicales; Brassicaceae.
AUAUAUAUAGCCAAAAGAAGAUGG